CCUACGGGGGGCAGCAGUGGGGGAUAUUGCACAAUGGGGGGAACCCUGAUGCAGCGACGCCGCGUGGGUGAAGGAGCGUUUCGGCGCGUAAAGCCCUAUCGGCAGGGAAGAAGGAGGACGGUACCUGACUAAGAAGCCCCGGCUAACUACGUGCCAGCAGCCGCGGUAAUACGUAGGGGGCAAGCGUUAUCCGGAUUUACUGGGUGUAAAGGGGGCGCAGACGGCAGCGCAAGCCAGGAGUGAAAGCCCGGGGCCCAACCCCGGGACUGCUCUUGGAACUGCGCGGCUGGAGUGCAGGAGGGGCAGGCGGAAUUCCUGGUGUAGCGGUGAAAUGCGUAGAUAUUAGGAGGAACACCAGAGGCGAAGGCGAUUAACUGGACCGUAACUGACGCUGAGGCACGAAAGUGUGGGUAGCAAACAGGAUUAGAUACCCCAGUAGUC
RNAcentral lists this ribosomal RNA (441 nucleotides) under uncultured bacterium. Its description in RNAcentral is "partial 16S ribosomal RNA". It matches the Rfam family "Bacterial small subunit ribosomal RNA", at positions 338 to 795 of the family's 1533-position model. The record is from RNAcentral.